This is a non-coding RNA of Camellia sinensis, 1315 nucleotides long. The record is from RefSeq and is a predicted model, not a curated record. Lineage: Eukaryota; Viridiplantae; Streptophyta; Magnoliopsida; Ericales; Theaceae.
GCGUGUGUGUAUGCGCGUGUGCAUGCGCACGCGAAAGAGAGACAUAGAGGCUACUAGAGCUUCGAUAACCAUCAACGAGGAAUUAGGUAGCCACCAGUGACCUUCACCGGAGAUGUUGAGUGGUAAAUUGAUGCAUUUAUUUUUGGUUUUUUUGCUUAUUUUUUAGAUUUAAGGUGGAUGUUUUAAGCUCAAGAUUUUGGUAUUGGAUGGAGAAGAUUUGAGGUUCAUUGUGUUUUUCAUAUUCUUUCUUCUGUUCCCUCCCCUCCCUCCCUCUUCUUUAUUAUCUUAUUUCUUCUCUGUAUUUCUUUUUAUUCAUAUAUCGAAAGGAUUACAUCAGCAAGUUUAUUCUACCCACGAUAUCUUAAAUGGAAGUGCCUUGAGAGACCAUGCUGCAUCAAAUGGUUUCAAAUUAUGAUGUAUAUAUUCUAUCAUAUGCCCCUACAUUGUAUGUUUAUUGGUGUAUUGAUAGGUUGAUGGGAGUGUAAUUGCUAUUGCACUGACAAUAAUUCAGAAAGAUUGGAAUUAAUUUCAUGUACAAAGUGCUAAAUCAAUUAUAUUGUUGCGGUUUCCUAAGUUUCUUUUGUUUUCUUCCUUUUGUUUGUUGAUAUUUUGUCAUAGAUGUGUUCGCCAAUGGGGUAUGCUUAGCUAUUGAAGAAAGUGACAAAAAGAUGACAAUGCCUAUUUGACUGAAAAUUUUGUUUCGUAUAACAUGCUUUUUAAUGAGUGAAUAGAAGCCUCCAAUGUUGUAUCCUGAUAGAAAUUGUUAUUUUACUUGAGCUGGGGUUUUGAACUUGAACAUGAAGAGGAAGGAGACCUUAUAUUUUACCUAGCUCACUUAGUUAUUAGUGAUAUGUUCCUCAAAGUUGUUAAUUAUCAGUUUUUAUUUAAGCUUGGCCUGGCUUCAUCCUUGUAGAUUUCAUGCAAACGACAUACCUGGCUUGACUAUCUGCUUUCUAUAUCAUGGUAUGGUUUGGAUUGGCGAGGUGGAAAAUGGUAUGCUGAUAGGAAGUUCAGGAAGGAGCAAAUGAAAUUGUUAGGACAGAUCAUACCUAAAAGGUGGCAACUGAAGUUCUUAAGAAGACCAUUAACAUGACCCAAAUCAUCUGAAAAUGUUGUUAAAGUGUCAGAAGCGUUCCAAAAGGAUUUACCUGUUGCACAUAAUUCUGGAGAAAUGAAUCGACCUUGUUAGUAACAGAUAUAAAAUGCAACAGCACUUGUUGAGGAAAAUAUAUUGUUUAUUGAGAUUAUACUCAUUAGAGUUUUUUGUACUUGUUACCUGGGAAGAAAUAUAAUCUACUAGUUUUGUCUCCUAUUA